Molecule: ribosomal RNA, 791 nt
Filed under: uncultured bacterium
Lineage: Bacteria
Description: bacterial SSU rRNA
Rfam family: Bacterial small subunit ribosomal RNA
Source: RNAcentral
AACACCAGUGGCGAAGGCGGCCUUUCUGGACUGUAACUGACACUGAGAUACGAAAGCGUGGGUAGCAAACAGGAUUAGAUACCCUGGUAGUCCACGCCGUAAACGAUGAGCACUGGGUGUCGGACUCGCAAGAGUUCGGUGCCGGAGCAAACGCAUUAAGUGCUCCGCCUGGGGAGUACGCACGCAAGUGUGAAACUCAAAGGAAUUGACGGGGACCCGCACAAGCAGCGGAGCAUGUGGUUUAAUUCGAAGCAACGCGAAGAACCUUACCAGGACUUGACAUCCCACUGAAAGCUCGGUUAAAACUGAGCCCUUCUUCGGAACAGUGGAGACAGGUGGUGCAUGGUUGUCGUCAGCUCGUGUCGUGAGAUGUUGGGUUAAGUCCCGCAACGAGCGCAACCCUUGCCGUUAGUUGCCAUCAUUAAGUUGGGCACUCUAAUGGGACUGCCGGGGAGAACCCGGAGGAAGGCGGGGAUGACGUCAAAUCAUCAUGCCCCUUAUGUUUUGGGCUACACACGUGCUACAAUGGCCGUCACAGAGGGAAGCGAGAGAGCGAUCUUAAGCGAAACCAAAAAGGCGGUCCCAGUUCGGACUGCAGGCUGCAACUCGCCUGCACGAAGCCGGAGUUGUUAGUAAUCGCGGAUCAGAAUGUCGCGGUGAAUGCGUUCCCGGGUCUUGUACACACCGCCCGUCACGCCAUGGAAGUUGGGGGUGCCCAAAGUCGGUCAAGAAGAGGUCGCCUAAGGCAAACCCAUUUUCUGGGGAAGUCGUAACAAGGUAGCCGUAAUUUU